GGAAUAUUGCACAAUGGGCGCAAGCCUGAUGCAGCGACGCCGCGUGAGGGAUGACGGCCUUCGGGUUGUAAACCUCUUUCAGCAGGGAAGAAGCGCAAGUGACGGUACCUGCAGAAGAAGCGCCGGCUAACUACGUGCCAGCAGCCGCGGUAAUACGUAGGGCGCAAGCGUUGUCCGGAAUUAUUGGGCGUAAAGAGCUCGUAGGCGGUUUGUCGCGUCUGCUGUGAAAACCUAAGGCUCAACCUUGGGCUUGCAGUGGGUACGGGCAGACUAGAGUGCGGUAGGGGAGACUGGAAUUCCUGGUGUAGCGGUGGAAUGCGCAGAUAUCAGGAGGAACACCGAUGGCGAAGGCAGGUCUCUGGGCCGCAACUGACGCUGAGGAGCGAAAGCGUGGGGAGCGAACAG
Molecule: ribosomal RNA, 405 nt
Filed under: Sphingomonas sp. sph1
Lineage: Bacteria; Pseudomonadati; Pseudomonadota; Alphaproteobacteria; Sphingomonadales; Sphingomonadaceae
Description: bacterial SSU rRNA
Rfam family: Bacterial small subunit ribosomal RNA
Source: RNAcentral